AUGGACAAGGUUGAUAUGGCCUUUUCCUGCCCAUUCUGCAAUCAUGGGAGCAGCGUUGAAUGCCGGAUUGAUAUGAAAAACCUGACUGGUGAGGCUAAUUGUCAAAUCUGCCAGGAAAGCUUCAGCACCACUGCAAAUGGAGGCUCUGACGAGUCGGAUGGACGGCGGCGGCAGCUGAGCUUCUCCAUGGCCUGCUGCAGUUCCAGGGAGAGAGCUUUGAAGGUGAGAAGGAGAUAUAGAAGAACAGAAAGAAGGGAGAAGAGGAAGGGCAGGGGUGUGGCGGCCUUGACUGUGAACCUCCGGUUGCGACGGUCUCCGGCGAGAGGCGGCGCAUGGCAUCGACGCGAGCCUACGGGGUGGCGGCAGCGGCGGCCGCUGCGGGAGCUCGGGCGUUUGGAUGCGUUUGGAUCGCAGGCCAAAGGUUAUGCAUAUUAG
RNAcentral lists this ribosomal RNA (435 nucleotides) under Triticum aestivum (bread wheat). RNAcentral describes it as "partial small subunit ribosomal RNA". Lineage: Eukaryota; Viridiplantae; Streptophyta; Magnoliopsida; Poales; Poaceae. The record is from RNAcentral.